GUGGAUUAGAUACCCUGGUAGUCCACGCUGUAAACGUUGCAUACUCGAUCUUAGCGAUACACAGUUAGGAUCCAAGCGAAAGCGUUAAGUAUGCCACCUGGGAAGUACGAUCGCAAGAUUGAAACUCAAAGGAAUUGACGGGGGCCCGCACAAGCGGAGGAGCAUGUGGUUUAAUUCGAUGAUACGCGAGGAACCUUACCUGGGCUUGAAUGUGAGUGACGGAUGCCGAAAGGUGUCUUCCCUUCGGGGCACAAAACAAGGUGCUGCACGGCUGUCGCCAGCU
This 283-nucleotide ribosomal RNA is filed under the name uncultured bacterium. RNAcentral's name for it is "partial 16S ribosomal RNA". It matches the Rfam family "Bacterial small subunit ribosomal RNA", at positions 773 to 1060 of the family's 1533-position model. The record is from RNAcentral.